CCGACUGCUAUCGGGGUGGGACUAAGCCAUGCAAGUUUGCGCUCCGAGCUAUGGCGGAGCGCGGCGGACGGCUCAGUAACACGUGGCUAACCUACCCUCAGGACGGGGAUAACCCCGGGAAACUGGGGCUAACCCUCGAUAGGAGCAGACACCUGGAAUGGGUCUGCUCCGAAAGGGAUACAGUACCAUGCUUACUGUAUCCGCCUGAGGAUGGGGCUGCGGCCUAUCAGGUAGUUGGCGGGGUAACGGCCCGCCAAGCCGAUAACGGGUAGGGGCUUGUGAGAGCAGGAGCCCCGAGAUGGGCACUUGAGACAAGGGCCCAGGCCCUACGGGGCGCAGCAGGCGCGAAACCUCCGCAAUGCGGGUAACCGUGACGGGGUCACCCCGAGUGCCAUCCGAAGAGGAUGGCUUUUCUCCGGUCUAAAAAGCCGGGGGAAUAAGCGGGGGGCAAGACUGGUGUCAGCCGCCGCGGUAAUACCAGCCCCGCGAGUGGUCGGGACGAUUAUUGGGCCUAAAGCGUCCGUAGCCGGCCCGGCAAGUCCCUCUUUAAAACUCACGGCUCAACCGUGAGAACGGAGGGAUACUGCCGGGCUAGGGGGCGGUAGAGGCCGGGGGUACUUCCGGGGUAGGGGCGAAAUCCUGUAAUCCCGGAAGGACCGCCAGUGGCGAAGGCGCCCGGCUGGAACGCGCCCGACGGUGAGGGACGAAAGCUGGGGGAGCAAAGGGGAUUAGAUACCCCCGUAGUCCCAGCUGUAAACGAUGCGGGCUAGGUGUUGGGUGGACUUUGAGUUCACCCAGUGCCGCAGGGAAGCCGUUAAGCCCGCCGCCUGGGGAGUACGGCCGCAAGGCUGAAACUUAAAGGAAUUGGCGGGGGAGCACCACAAGGCGUGAAGCUUGCGGUUUAAUUGGAGUCAACGCCGGAAACCUUACCGGGGGCGACAGCAGGAUGAAGGCCAGGCUACAGGCCUUGCCAGACAAGCUGAGAGGAGGUGCAUGGCCGUCGCCGGCUCGUGCCGUGAGGUGUCCGGUUAAGUCCGGCAACGAGCGAGACCCCCGCCCUUAGUUGCUAUCUAUCCCCUACGGGGGAUAGAGCACUCUAAGGGGACUGCCGGCGUUAAGCCGGA
This 1124-nucleotide ribosomal RNA is filed under the name uncultured Thermofilaceae archaeon. Its description in RNAcentral is "bacterial SSU rRNA". It matches the Rfam family "Archaeal small subunit ribosomal RNA", at positions 23 to 1123 of the family's 1478-position model. The record is from RNAcentral. Lineage: Archaea; Thermoproteati; Thermoproteota; Thermoprotei; Thermofilales; Thermofilaceae.